Molecule: long non-coding RNA, 364 nt
Filed under: Elaeis guineensis (African oil palm)
Lineage: Eukaryota; Viridiplantae; Streptophyta; Magnoliopsida; Arecales; Arecaceae
Description: long non-coding RNA (EGUI_LNC077432)
Source: RNAcentral
ACAGCAUGCAUGCAUUUAAAUUUGAAAUUCAAAUUUGAACAGUAAGCACUUUACUAUAAUGUGUUCAGAACAUAAUACCUUUAUGUGGGUAGUCGAUCUCCGCAAUCUGAUCACCAUCGAGAGAGUCUGAUCAUCAUGAUACAGCCACAUAGUAUGUCUGGCCUCUGUGAAUCAUCCACAUGAAGCUUCCGGUCUGAUCGACUCCUCACGAGUGCUAGCUCGUUGUAGAGCCCUUUCGACGGCUGAUGCUGAUCGAACUCCUUUGAUUGAUAUCUGUCGAUUCUUUGGAUACUUUGGAUCAUCAGCAGACAUGCUUGAGAGGAUGUUGAAGAUCUUCCUAAAAUUUGGUGGGCUCACGACACUC